GCCUUUAGGAAGAGGAUAACAACUAGAAGUAGUUGCUAAGACUCUAUAUGCCGUUUGGUGAAAAAAGCAAUUUGCCUAAAGAGAAGCUCGCGUCUGAUUAGCUAGUUGGUGGGGUAAAGGCCUACCAAGGCGACGAUCAGUAGCUGGUCUGAGAGGAUGAUCAGCCACACUGGAACUGAGACACGGUCCAGACUCCUACGGGAGGCAGCAGUGAGGAAUUUUCUGCAAUGGGCGAAAGCCUGACAGAGCAAUACCGCGUGGAGGAUGAAGGCCUACGGGUUGUAAACUUCUUUUCUCAAGGAGGAAGAUCUGACGUUACUUGAGGAAUAAGCAUCGGCUAACCCUGUGCCAGCAGCCGCGGUAAUACAGGGGAUGCAAGUGUUAUCCGGAAUCAUUGGGCGUAAAGCGUCUGCAGGUUGAUAUUUAAGUCUUUUGUUAAAUCUCCGGGCUUAACCUAGAAUCUGCAAAAGAAACUAUAUAUCUUGAGUAUGGUAGAGGUAAAGGGAAUUUCCAGUGGAGCGGUGAAAUGCGUAGAUAUUGGAAAGAACACCAACAGCGAAGGCACUUUACUGGGCCAGUACUGACACUCAGAGACGAAAGCUAGGGGAGCAAACGGGAUUAGAUACCCCGGUAGUCCUAGCUGUAAACGAUG
Molecule: ribosomal RNA, 652 nt
Filed under: uncultured bacterium
Lineage: Bacteria
Description: bacterial SSU rRNA
Rfam family: Bacterial small subunit ribosomal RNA
Source: RNAcentral